This 1538-nucleotide long non-coding RNA is filed under the name Nicotiana tabacum (common tobacco). Its description in RNAcentral is "long non-coding RNA (NTAB_LNC012304)". Lineage: Eukaryota; Viridiplantae; Streptophyta; Magnoliopsida; Solanales; Solanaceae. The record is from RNAcentral.
GUCAGAGGCGUGAAUUGAUUUUCACUUUUGUGCAAGUUUGCUGUCAACUUUUGUUUUUCGGUGUCGCACUUAGAGGCAUUCGUAAAUCAAAUUCUGAAAGAAAUUUUUGUUUCAACAAAGAUACGAGGCUUUCGAAGGUCAAUUCACGAAGCAAAUGUAUAGUGGAGCAAAGAAUUAUACGGUUCAAGGUAAGUGACUUGUCUAACCUUGUGGGGGGGAAGUUCCCCUAGGAUUGGUAUUGUCAUGAAAAUUUUGAUGUGUUGAAAGUCGUGUAUGCGAGGUGACGGGUGUAUACACGGGUUAAAUAUAGAAAAACUUUAGUUUUAAGUUGUGUAGAUCUCUGUUACAUAUUAAUUAAAUUAUUUUAUCUGGUAAUAUUCAGCAUCAUUGGUCUAUUUAUAUAUUUUAAAAUUUGUCUUACAUGUUUCCUGCUAAUUGUUUUACUUGUUUAGUUGAAACUUUAUUUACUUUAUUCUGUGCUCAUUAUUUGAAAGUUGAAUUUCCUAAUUGAAUUAUUAUUAAUAUGAAGUAUUUGAUAUUUAAAUUUGGUAUUUGAAGUAAAGUGUUUUAUUGUGAAAUAUUGCUUUGUUGAGUUAUCCACUCCCGAAUAUUUUGUUGAGAUUUGUAUUCAUGGUGAUUGAGCCUUGAGCUCCUUGUUGUGAAAAUUUAUGUUGUUGUUGAUUUAUUUUGGCAAGUUGAGAUAUUUGGGCACUUGAGGUGCAAAUUAUAAUACAUUGUGAUAUUGAUACGCAUGCGGUGGUAUAAGGUCUGGGUGUUGAAACGCAUGCGGUGAGAGAAGGGUGGCUUGAUACGCGUGGCUAGUAGGGGAACUACUAGAAGUCAUGCAGUGUGAUAAGGGUAGCUAAAAUGCGGGAUGCCAUUUCGGAAAAAAUAAUUUCUUUAAAAUUUAAUGUGAACGCUCUCGCGGUGAUAUAAGAAAAUGAAAUAUUAUGAAUUUUUUUAUGAUUUGGGACUCCGAGGCGAUACCUCAGGAGUGCCCUUGUUGAUAUUUCUUCGUGGCUGCAUUUGCCUUUGGUUAUUUUGUAUUUUUUCUUAAAGUUGUAAAUUUCUGUUUUUCUUCCGCGAGAUAUUAUUUUCUCUUAUUCUGUGUAGUUAAAUUGUGACAUAUUACUUACUUGAUUCAUUCCCAUUAUUAUUUUUAUUAUUAUAUUGUUAAACUUUUCACCAUGUCUUUUAUUAUUUCCAGUAGGGCCUGACCUAACCUUGUCACUACUCUACCGAGGUUAGGCUUGGCACUUACUGGGUACCGCUGUGGUGUACUCAUACUAUGCUUCUGCACAUCUUUUUGUGCAGAUCUACGUACUUGCUAUCAGACCGGGCAUCAGUGAACUUGCCGUACGCGGAGACUUCAAGGUAUAUCUGUCAGCGUCCCCAGACCUCGGAGUCCCCUUCUAUCAUUAUUAUGUUGCUUUCCAUAUUCUCUUUAGAAUCUGAUGUAUAGAGACCCUUAGAAUAAAUUCUUAGAAACUUGUGACUUAUUUAGCGGGUUUGAAGAGUUAUAAUUAUUUGAAUUGCAG